RNAcentral lists this ribosomal RNA (408 nucleotides) under uncultured bacterium. RNAcentral's name for it is "bacterial SSU rRNA". It matches the Rfam family "Bacterial small subunit ribosomal RNA", at positions 354 to 777 of the family's 1533-position model. The record is from RNAcentral.
GUGGGGAAUAUUGGGCAAUGGGCGCAAGCCUGACCCAGCAACGCCGCGUGAAGGAAGAAGGCUUUCGGGUUGUAAACUUCUUUGACAGAGGACGAAGACGUGACGGUACUCUGAAAACAAGCCACGGCUAACUACGUGCCAGCAGCCGCGGUAAUACGUAGGUGGCGAGCGUUAUCCGGAUUUACUGGGUGUAAAGGGCGUGUAGGCGGGAUUACAAGUCAGGCGUGAAAACUAUGGGCUCAACCCAUAGCCUGCGUUUGAAACUGUAGUUCUUGAGUGAUGGAGAGGCAGGCGGAAUUCCUCGUGUAGCGGUGAAAUGCGUAGAUAUGAGGAGGAACACCAGUGGCGAAGGCGGCCUGCUGGACAUUAACUGACGCUGAGGCGCGAAAGCGUGGGGAGCAAACAGGA